AUUGAACGCUGGCGGCAGGCUUAACACAUGCAAGUCGGACGGUAGCAGGAGAAAGCUUGCUUUCUUGCUGACGAGUGGCGGACGGGUGAGUAAUGCUUGGGGAUCUGUCUUAUGGAGGGGGAUAACGACGGGAAACUGUCGCUAAUACCGCGUAGAGUCGGGAGACGAAAGUGCGGGACCUUAGGGCCGCAUGCCAUGAGAUGAGCCCAAGUGUGAUUAGGUAGUUGGUGGGGUAAAGGCCUACCAAGCCGACGAUCGCUAGCUGGUUGAGAGGAUGGCCAGCCACACCGGGACUGAGACACGGCCCGGACUCCUACGGGAGGCAGCAGUGGGGAAUAUUGCGCAAUGGGGGCAACCCUGACGCAGCCAUGCCGCGUGAAUGAAGAAGGCCUUCGGGUUGUAAAGUUCUUUCGGUGAUGAGGAAGGUUGGUGUGUUAAUAGCAUGCCAACUUGACGUUAAAUACAGAAGAAGCACCGGCUAACUCCGUGCCAGCAGCCGCGGUAAUACGGGGGGUGCUAGCGUUAAUCGGAAUAACUGGGCGUAAAGGGCACGUAGGCGGACCUUUAAGUGAGGUGUGAAAUCCCCGGGCUUAACCUGGGAAUUGCAUUUCAUACUGGGGGUCUGGAGUACUUUAGGGAGGGGUAGAAUUCCACGUGUAGCGGUGAAAUGCGUAGAGAUGUGGAGGAAUACCGAAGGCGAAGGCAGCCCCUUGGGGAUGUACUGACGCUGAUGUGCGAAAGCGUGGGGAGCAAACAGGAUUAGAUACCCUGGUAGUCCACGCUGUAAACGGUGUCGAUUUGGGGAUUGGGGUUUAGCCCUGGUGCCCGAAGCUAACGCGAUAAAUCGACCGCCUGGGGAGUACGGCCGCAAGGUUAAAACUCAAAUGAAUUGACGGGGGCCCGCACAAGCGGUGGAGCAUGUGGUUUAAUUCGAUGCAACGCGAAGAACCUUACCUACUCUUGACAUCCGAAGAAGAACUCAGAGAUGGGUUUGUGCCUU
Molecule: ribosomal RNA, 1000 nt
Filed under: Aggregatibacter actinomycetemcomitans
Lineage: Bacteria; Pseudomonadati; Pseudomonadota; Gammaproteobacteria; Pasteurellales; Pasteurellaceae
Description: bacterial SSU rRNA
Rfam family: Bacterial small subunit ribosomal RNA
Source: RNAcentral